Long non-coding RNA from Oncorhynchus nerka (sockeye salmon), 2950 nucleotides. RefSeq lists it as uncharacterized. NCBI's taxonomy places the organism in Eukaryota, Metazoa, Chordata, Actinopteri, Salmoniformes, Salmonidae. The record is from RefSeq and is a predicted model, not a curated record. The transcript has 2 exons.
UUCAAGAUGGCUGCUACCUACAUUCCUGUUAGGGUUGUGAAGCAUAAACAAAGUCAACAUGGAAUACGGUGAUACACACCGAAAGCUGGGACUCCACAGAUCAUGAGGAUAUAUUAUUUGUCUGCCUGUGACCUACCGUUAUUGAUCUCCAGCCCUGAGAGUCUAAAUGUUUAUUUUACACUGUUUUCACCAAACAGCAAACAUCUUACAAGAGUGGAGGAUGCAGAGCAUUUGGAUGAUGACGUUUGGGAGCUACCCCUCCCCAGCAAGCACCCUCACCGGCCAAGGUGCUCACACCCCACUGCUAUGUCAAUCACCCUGUCUGAUGUUUCUACAUCCACUUUUCAAAGACCUCUUGAAGAAGAAAAUAGGGUCUUGUGGCACCAUUCGUCCUAACAGAAUCGGUUUCCCAAGACCAAGGUAAAUGACAUGACAAAGACAGCAGAGAGGGGGACCAUUUGUUGGAUCAGGAUUAAAAAGCCACUUUUUGUGAAAUGGAAGGACACUAGGGAAGUAACCAUGCUCACCACACAGCAUAAGACAUUCAAUAACGACCAUGUCUCAAGGAGGGUGAAAAAUGCCAAUGGGGCAUGGGUGAGGAAGAAUGUCAACGUUUCUGUUUCUGUGAACGACUACAAUGCCAGCAUGGGCGGUGUCAACCUAUCUGAUGCUCUGAUAGGCUACUACCAGGUCCUCCACAAGACCAGGAAGUGGGUAUAAGACUUUUUUUUUUACAACUUUAUGGACAUUACUACAGUAAAUGCUUUCAUUCUCCAUAAGCAGAUGGCCAAAGCAAAAGGUCAAACCCCUCUCUCCCAGUUGGCCUUCCGAGAUAAACUGGUGUUGGAAAUGGCUGAAUUGGAGGUCCAAAGCAACCUCACUACCAUCACAAGACCCCCCACUCAAAGUGAGCGCCACUAUUUAACACACAUGCCAAAAGACAGAAGGAAGAAUUGCAAGCAUUGCACAAAACACAGAUCUUCUGUCCGAAAUGACAGAUUGCUUUUUGUUUCCUGGCAGAGAGGGACUGCUUCAAAGAUUAUCACGACAUGCACAAGCUAUGGUGAAAGUGAAAUCUAAUCAUCUACACCUGGGAUGUAAAACAUACACGAAUGCCAUUUGUAAAUAGUUCAGCUUAUUUAAAUUCUUGCACCUUUUGUUGUGAGGGACAAAUGUUUUUUAUAUUUUUUAUGUAUAUCUGGUGCUUUUAUAUUGUUUAUGUAAACAGUUCAUUUGUAUGUGGGACCAACACAUUGGAUAUGCCUAUAGGCUAAACGUUCAAGAACUUUGAAGAGGUUGAAAAAACACGUGGAUAUCCUUUGUAUGUCCCCCGACACCAGCACAAUAUUUGAGAGAGGUUGGUGUUACAGAAAUGUUGUUUUUAUAGUGAACAAUCUAAUCAAAUCAAAUGUAUUUAUAUAGCCCUUCGUACAUCAGCUGAUAUCUCAAAGUGCUGUACAGAAACCCAGCCUAAAACCCCAAACAGCAAGCAAUGCAGGUGUAGAAGCACGGUGGCUAGGAAUAUCCUUUAGGCACAUCCAGUGUGCAAAAACAGUGCAAUUACCAUAUUCGGACACUUUAGAGAGGUUGAAAGGAAACUUGAAUGUGCCCUGGAUACCCCAUAUCACCCCCACAAUGUUUGAGUGAGGUUGACAUGGUAGAAAUUGUGUUUUUAUACUGAACAGAUAGCAUUUAGGGAUUGCAAAUAUGUAACAGCACUGAAAUUAACUAAUUUACAGACAUGCCACUUUGGAGAGGUUUAGGGACACUUGGAUAUGUCCCAUGACCACACCUGACACCACUUACUAAAACAUCUGCCCAUUUUUUUAUUUUUUUAUUUUAUUUUACACCUUUUUUGUGGUAUCCAAUUGGUAGUUACGGUCUUGUCCCAUCGCUACAACUCCUGUACCGACUUGGGAGAGGCGAAGGUCGAGAGCCGUGAGUCCUCCGAAACACAACCCAACCAAGCCGCACUGCUUCUUGACACCUAUGCCCGCUUAACCCAGAAGCCAGCCGCACAAAUGUGUCAGAGGAAACACCGUACACCUGGCAACCAUGUCAGUGAGCAUUGCUCCCAGCCCACCACAGGAGUCGCUGGGACAAGAACAUCCCUGCCGGCCAAACCCUCCCCUAACCCGGAUGAUGCUGGGCCAAUUGUGCACCGCCCCAUGGGUCUCCCGGUCUGUUAUUUUGUGUUUGCUUGAUCUUGUGAAUUCUGAACUAUGUAACUCCUAUCUAUCUUCUGAUCAUUUCCUCACAAUCUCACAGAAUGUGAACACACAUGAACAGCAGUUACUUUUGGGUAUGUCUAUUUAGGCGGGAAAUCUACAUUUUGCCAUUAUAUUUAAGAGGUUUAGACUAUUUUCUGGUAUUACAAAAGUAAUAUUGAAUUGUGCUUGGUUGUCAAUGCAACCAUAUAUCAACAUUUCCAUGUAUCUAAUGCUCGAAAAGUUCCAUCUGUGCCACUGACUUAGUCUGGCUUUAAUUCCAGUUUGUCUUGAAAUUAAUAAAUGAUAUGUUGGAUUCACGUCUCCAUUUCAACCAAAAAUAAUAAGAUAAAGAAUAGGACAAAAUUAAAUAAAACUUUAAAUGCACUUUAAAUCAAGUUUGAUUUGAUCCUAUGCUUUAACCUUGAUUUUUGGUUAAGAUGGAAACAUGAAUCCAACAUAUGAAUUAUUAAUUUGUAGACAAACUGGAAUUAUAGCUAGACUAAAGUCAGUGGCACAGAUGGAAUUAUCCAAGCAGAAGACAUCUCCUUCAAAUGUUGGUAUUUGGUUGCGUUGACAAUCAAACAAUUCAAUAUCGCUAAAUAGCAUUAUAUUUGAAAUCAGUGAUUGAAACCCUACCCACUGGGCACAAACUGGUUGAAUCAAUGUUGUUUCAACAUAAUUUGUCAACGUAUUGUGACAUGGAAUCUACAUGGAAAAUACAUUGGAUUUGAAAAAAGUAA